RNAcentral lists this unclassified non-coding RNA (296 nucleotides) under fungal sp. Its description in RNAcentral is "partial internal transcribed spacer region". The stretch from base 1 to 46 matches the Rfam family "Eukaryotic small subunit ribosomal RNA", at positions 1786 to 1831 of the family's 1831-position model. Lineage: Eukaryota; Fungi. The record is from RNAcentral.
AAGUCGUAACAAGGUAACCGUAGGUGAACCUGCGGUUGGAUCAUUAAAAUAUUUUCUUAUUUUUCCUUGACUCUUUAACUAGGGUUUUAAGGAAGAAUUAACCCCAUUUGUGAACUUUUUAUUGUAUUUUUGGGUAGGGUGGUUUUUUAUAACCGUUAACAAGAUGAGAAAGACUAGUCUUUUUUUUUCUUACCUUGCCCAACUUUAAAUAAGCACUAGUAGAAUAAACUUGUCUAAAAACAGAAAUUUUUUAAAAUAUUAAAAAACAACUUUUGACAACGGAUCUCUAGGCUCUC